AUAUCCUGAUCUUAUACAACUACAAAUGGAUACUUGAGAUAUGUGGCUCCGGGAUUGCUUUCUCGCAGGGAGUCGAGGAAGGAUCUCUGGGCAUUAAUGUUACAACAUGCUUGUUAAAUAUUAUAAACUGCUAUUCUUUACUCUUCUACAUGCUGCAAGAUGCUCGGAGCUGCGUGAAGAUGCUAGUCUUCGAUAGGCUAGGCCUUCCCCCUCUAUUCUGGCAUUCUGCAGUUCAGUCCACAGAUACAACCUUUCCAUUUGAUACCAAUGGAUACUUAGUAUAGAUCUGAUGCUUGCGAGUACUUUGGAUGAGUACUCACGGUUGCUUUGCUACCCCUUUCCCCCCUUCUUUCUUCUUUCCGGUUGAUGCAACCAGAUGGUGGAUCCUUGGAGCCAGAUGCCACCGCUGAUGGAUGCUACUACGUGGAGCCCGCCGACGACCAAGAGUAGUUAGGUGGUCCCAGGUAGGAGGCCUUGCCUCUUCGAUCGUUGAUGUUUGUGCUAGCCUUCUUAAGGCAAAACUUGUUUAACUUAUGUCUGUACUUAGAUAUUGUUGCUUCCGCUGACUCUUGUGUAUCGAGCUAUGUAUUCGAGCCCUCGAGGCCCCUGGCUUGUAAUAUAAAGCUUGUAUUAUUUUGACUUGUGUCUAGAGUUGUGUUGUGAUAUCUUCCCGUGAGUCCCUGAUCUUGAUCAUACACAUUUGCGUGUAUGAUUGGUGUACGAUUGAAUCGGGGGCGUCACAAGUUGGUAUCAUAGCCGACUGCCUGUAGGAUCCCUCUUUCCAAUUCCUUGGCCGAAGUUGAGUCUAGUCUUUAAAAAAUAACUGAUUUACUAACAUGGCUGUGUGGCUUACGGGCCCACGUCACCAAUUGGGUGGUAUUAGUAUCGUUUAUUCCUUGUCUAUACUCUGGGAAUAUGAUCUCUCUUCUAUUCGGGUUAAAUGGUUUUUGCUAACAAUAACUCUAGGUUCUCGUAAAUACUUUCUCCCGGAGAGCCCCUUCAUUCCAGAUGAUGGCCUGCUUCAUCAGAAGAUUCUGAAGAUACUCUCUGAAGUUUUAUGGAGACCCUUGUGCCCUUCGUCGUUGCGAUCCCUACCAUCGACAAGUCUUUAUGAGUAGCUACCUACAUUGUCGUUCAUACCUUCAUCCCUAGUUGCUCUUGUUAUUACAAGAUGUCCUGAAAUACUCUGAUGUUCCGAGAACCCUUUAUGCUUGCUACCUUGCAGUUCUUUGCCACAUGAAUAUCCCCUAUGGAUAAUUACUCGUGCUUGCCGAGUACCCAUUCAUCCACAGUUGUUCAUGUGAUUCACAAGAUACUUUGGAAUACCAUCCGAUCUUCUGAGAAUCCUCUCCAAAUAUUGCUCUGCUAAUAAUUAUCUGCUUGCAUUAUGGUUACUUCCAUAUGUCUAGCAAUACUCAUUAGCAUCCUUUGUCAUCGUAAUUUCGAGCAUUUGAUUCGAUUCGUUUGCGAAUGCUCGCGAUCAUCAGUCCUAUUUAAAAUUCUCCCCUUGGUUCAGACGUCACUCCAGACAUGAGCUGGUGUUCGACAAAUCAAACCUUGAUUGAUUGUCGAUCUAUGUCUAUACAACUUACUUGUCUUUGAUCAGAGCCUCUGCUUUUGAUCCCUCGUUUUGGAAAUCAUAAUUCCUUUGCAUUUGAGCUUUGAAUUAGUCAGUUGUUCCUAUAAUCUGAUUUCCUUGCAUUCUUCUUCUUCUGGUUGAGUACCGAUACUCACAUCAGAUCCAUUGUGGACCUCCAGGUCCUUUGUUGGGUUCUAUCUGACAGUGUGCUUAUUCAGUAACCUUGUGAGCCUUUCCUCGGAUACAUAAUGCCUUUGGUAAAUCGUAUUCCCUGCUUUUGUCAACCAUGCUUUGUUUUCGAGCUUGAGUUACUUAUUCCUAAAGUUGUGGUAUAUGUUCCUAAGAUGUCCCUAUGGGUUGAAUCUAUGGCUUCCCUAAACUGUGUGAAGCCGAAGAUUAUGCGAGUUAUAUCUAUUGGCAUUCCUUCGGAUAAAUCUUCAAUUCUACAACUUCGUCAAAAACGAGAAGUAAAUGGAAAGUUGUGCAUUAGAGAAGUGGGAGUCAACCUUGAACCUUUGUGUUCAUGCCCGUGGGCCCGAUGUGGAACUUAUCAUGGAAGCUUCUUGUUAUAAUAAUAAUCCCCUUGUGAUAAGUUCAUUUGUUAUCUAUAUUUGGUCCUUUGCAACUGUGGUUUCGACCAUAUUGUUCUUCUUUGAUCCCAUUUUUCGGACAAGUGAAAGUACUUGUCUUCUUCAGAUCAUUUCACCUGUCCAACCUCUACUUUGAUCUACCAUCGAGUAUUACCCUAUGGUAUCUCAAGAAUAUCACAGAACUACAUAACUUCUUAUGAGUUUUUCAUCAGCUAUUAUUCUCGCCGAUUCAAAUUUUCCACGGGUUCUGAGAUGUUAGACACUCGAGAACACCGGUAAUUGAUUCAGGUCUCUAUUGCUUUGUUUAACCUUUCUUGUAACCUAUCAUAUCUGAGCAGUGAUAAUUUCCUGCUUAUGUAAACACCUCGGUGUACAGCUCUGUCCGUAAGGCCUUGUUACUAUUGCUGAUGACAUUCUGAUAGCCACCGAUGGACGAGAACUUUGCCUAUUGGUCCGCCUCGUCUUAACGAGCAGCAAAAUGGUUCUCUUCGUCCCUCGCCCUUGGUACCAGCAUGUUGCCAACAUAACCGACAGGCUAUCCUCUGACCUACCUUGUUAUCAUGACCGUACAAAAUGUUAGCACCCUUCCUGCUUUUAACCCACAUGGUGGGCCCAUAACCCACAGUUCCACAAGAUCGAAACCUGACUCUCCUGUACAACCUUGACUCUGAAAUAUUCUUUGCACUUGGCUUCGUAUGUAAAUAACGAGCCACAUACCUAGUGAUCUAUGUUGGUAUUAGGCGCAAUACUUAUUCCCAUUGCCCCGAACCCCUUUCACCCUCUGUUUCAGGCAACGAACGAUUGCCUACCCGGUUGAACCUUCUUAUUGCACCUUCUUAUCUUGCUCUCGAUGACUUUCUUAAAUUUCAACUCGAGAGAUGCCUCUAUGCCACGUUCAGUGAGAUAGCCCUCAGGUACCUAUCUUGUGAUGAGCUCCGUCCUUCUCGAGUGUGUCCCCCUUACUUCACCUCCUAAAUCUCGGGACGAGAUUUAUUGUAGUGGAGGAGAAUUGUGACGCCUGGAUAAUUAAGCUACAGUAAUCCCAUGUUAAUGGUGCCGAGUCAUCGCAAUUACUGUUGCUAAUCUUACUUUGGUUCAAACAAGAAUCAAAUUCAAAUUCAAAUAAAGUCAAAUAAUUAUUUCUUCAAACGGCAAAACAAAAAUGUUUGCUAGGUUACAGAAAUUCACCAACUUAUUUUCUUGAAGGAACCAAUAUUAUUUGACAUAUUAAAUUACCCCUAACCUAUUUAUAGUGUCCAAAACAACAUUUUUAAUCCAUUUGCAUUUAUACAAAAAUCAAAUGAAUUCUAAUAUUCCUCAAACCAUUUUAUAACAGUGUCAAAUAUUGCAUGAUAUUUAUUUGGCCAAGUCUCAUUUUCAAUAAAAGUCAAUUGCUAGUGGAAAUAAAAUAAUACAGAAAGAAGUAAAGUAAACAAAAAUGUUUUUAAAAGAAAAACAAAACAAAAUUAAGAACAAGGCCAAUCUCCCCCCCUCCCAUGGGCCUCUCGGCCCACCUGGCCGCUAGCCGGCCCACCCCGCACCAAUCUGGCCUACAAGGCCACCCCGACCCAAACCCUAGCGCUAACCACCCCCACACCCCCACUCCUCGUUCCCCACUCCCCCUCCCUCACCCAAUCCCAUCUAGAUCGAGAUCGGGGCAGCGAGCCCGAUCCCAUCGUCACCGUCGCCCCGUCCCCCUUGUUGUCGCCCCGCGGUGCGUCACCGCUGGCAUCACCGCAACGGUGCCCGCGACCGCGACGCCACCUCACCGCGUCGCCUCGUCCGCGACCGCGACACCGCCGGACUGCGUCGUCCCCGACCCCGCCGCCCGCCGCCGCCCGAAGGCCUCCCUCGUCGGACUGCCUCCUCAUCAGACCGCCCCUCCUCGAGCUCUGGCGCCUCCUCGAGCCCACUUUAGCACCUCUACAGGGCUCCGUGAGCAUGCUCCCCCUCUCCCUCUCUUCCCUCGUCGUACGACACCGUCACCGCGUUCCGCCCGCUCCUGGCCGUGCACGGCCACGCCGCCGGCGUGCGCCCACAUCCGCCACGACCGCUCCCGGCCUCUACUUCCCCCUUGGCGCUGCUCACCGCUGCCCGUCGACCCACACGCCCCGCUGCGACAUUCUGCCGCGCCUCCAUGGCCCCGCCCACCUCCGCCGACUGCGCCCCGCCUCCGCCGCCCGUCGUUCCCCCCUCACUCGCGGCCCUCCUCGAUGGCGGCCACCCGCUCGGGACCGCCACCGGCCGUGGCCAUGGCCUCGUCGGCCCUGCUGGGCGAGCACCCGCUCGGGGCCUGCGCCCGACCCCAGGGGCUCCGCCCGUUAACCCGUUUCGCCCAUCGCCCGGUUGGCCCCAGUGGGCCACUGACCGCUGGGCCCGGCCCCCUAUUUAAAAAAGGAUUUAAAAAAAUAAAUAAAUAUAAAAACAAUUAUUUAAUUAGAUAGUUAAUUAAUUAACUUAAUUAACCUUGCUUAGUUAGCCUAAUGAACUAGUUUAGUUAUUUUUAAAUCUGCUAAUUAGUUAGGUCAAUGACAGACGGGCCCCACUGCCCUGUUUGACUAGUCAACGGUCAGUGUUGACCGCUGACAUCAUGAUGACAUCAUGCUGAUGCAAUAACCCCAUUUUCGAAUUAAUAAUAAUUUCAGAAAAUGUUUAAAACUUUGAAAAAUAAUAUAAAAUAAUCCGUAGCUCGGAUCGAAAAACUUUGUACAUGAAAGUUGCUCAGAACGACGAGACGAAUCCGAAUAUGUGGUCCGUUCGUCUGCCACACGUCCCUAGCAUAGCAAACAUGCAACUUUUUCCCUCUAGUUCAUCUGUCUGAUAGACGUCCGGAACUGGGAAUACUUUCCCGGAUGUUUCCCCCUUCGCCAGUAACGCCUAGCACUGCGUUAGAACACCUCUAGCCCCGCUUAUAAUCAUGUUGUGCAUAUGUUUGUGUGUAUUUACUGUUUCUUCCCCCUCUUCUCUCCGGUAUACCCCGAGUCCGCUGUUGAUGCUGCUGAGAUCGACUACGUCGAUGACGACCCUCCUUCUUGUCUGAGCAACCAGGCAAGCCCCCCUUUGAUCAUCCCGAUAUCGCCCAUUCUAUACUCUCAUGCUUGCAUUAGAUUUUGCUACCGUUAUUGUUUGCUCCUAUUCUGAUGCAUAGCCUGCUUUUGUACCUGCUAUUGUUACCUACCUGCUUAUCCUAAACUGCUUAGUAUAGGUUGGCUAGUGAUCCAUCAGUGACCCCCACCUUGUCUUUGUUGGCCCUGCUUCAUCAUCAACGACUCGAUCAGCGUGAUCGACGACCAGAGCCCGACACCUCACAUCACAUUACGCCCCUUUUGUUGCUCGACUCUGCAGAGCUACUGUCGAGUGCCGAGGGUGAUCCCUCAUAACGCACUCCUGAUGAUAAUUCUGUAGUGUAGCUAUUCGGUCGUGGUCAUCGAGGGUGAUUUCCUCUUUCACCAUUCCCGAUACGGCUCUGUCGUUCAACACCUCAAGUGUGAACCUCGAGGGUGGUCCCUCUUACAUUCACCUUAAUGAUUACAUCGAGUGGAAUCCUCCGUGGGUGAUUCCUCGGGUUUUCCCCUUGAUGUUUGGACACACAGUUACAAUGACUUUACUUGAGACCUUGGUGAAAGUCGGGCGGGCCCGGAGAGCACCGGCAAGAUAAUGACGUGGCACGGCCGGGCAUUCUGAGCCCUUGUCGUAAGUCCACGAGACGGGGCGACGGGGUCACUUCCGAUCGUGAGUCUCUACUCGUCUCCGCAAGCUAAUAAUACACUAUGGUUUGGGUAUUUGUUCUGAGUUGGCCUCUGGCCUUUACGCACUAACCACCACACGAGAAUAGAUAUGGGCCUCGACGUCAUGGUAUCAGCCGAAGCUUUGUCAGACAUCUAGUUCAGCAUUGUGGUCGGGCCGGAUCGUGCCAUCCACUUCAUGGGCGGUGCUGGUAUCCCCUUGCGCACAACGAUCCGGAGUGCAACAGGCGAUGGGCCCAGACCCCGGAGUGCUUAGGAUGUAGACCGGCGGGGACCUCUCUGCUGAGCCUAGGUCGGGCUGCGACAUGUUGAUCUUCCGAGGGCGGGCAUUGACCCCAGAAAGGUGUGUCCAGCUAGAGUGAUCGAGCGUGUUGGGUAACGUCGUGCACCCCUGCAGGGAAGUUAUAUAUUCGAAUACCGUGUCCACGGUAAUGGACGUUCAGACUUAUAUCCUGAUCUUAUACAACUACAAAUGGAUACUUGAGAUAUGUGGCUCCGGGAUUGCUUUCUUGCAGGGAGUCGAGGAAGGAUCUCUGGGCAUUAAUGUUACAACAUGCUUGUUAAAUAUUAUAAAGUGCUAUUCUUUACUCUUCUACAUGCUGCAAGAUGCUCGGAGCUGCAUGAAGAUUCUAGUCCUCGAUAGGCUAGGCCUUCCCUCUCUAUUCUGGCAUUCUGUAGUUCAGUCCACAGAUACAACCUUUCCAUUUGAUACCAAUGCAUACUUAGUAUAGAUCUGAUGCUUGUGAGUACUUUGGAUGAGUACUCACGGUUGCUUUGCUACCCCUUUUCCCCCUUCUUUCUUCUUUCCGGUUGAUGCAACCAGAUGGUGGAUCCUUGGAGCCAGAUGCCACCGCCGAUGGAUGCUACUACGUGGAGCCUGCCGACGACCAAGAGUAGUUAGGAGGUCCCAGGCAGGAGGCCUUGCCUCUUCGAUCGUUGAUGUUUGUGCUAGCCUUCUUAAGGCAAAACUUGUUUAACUUAUGUCUGUACUUAGAUAUUGUUGCUUCCGCUGACUC
Molecule: long non-coding RNA, 6931 nt
Filed under: Triticum aestivum (bread wheat)
Lineage: Eukaryota; Viridiplantae; Streptophyta; Magnoliopsida; Poales; Poaceae
Description: long non-coding RNA (TAES_LNC011876)
Source: RNAcentral